UGCCGCAGGAGCGCGGAGACAGGUGGUGCAUGGCUGUCGUCAGCUCGUGUCGUGAGAUGUUGGGUUAAGUCCCGCAACRAGCGCAACCCUCACCCCUUGUUGCCAUCAGGUMAUGCUGGGCACUCUAGGGGAACUGCCCCGGUCAACGGGGAGGAAGGYGGGGAUGACGUCAAGUCAUCAUGCCCCUUACGCCCUGGGCUACACACGUGCUACAAUGGYCGGUACAAAGGGAUGCRASRCCGCRAGGYRGAGCCAAACCCAAAAAGCCGGYCUAAGUUCAGAUUGGAGUCUGCAACUCGACUCCAUGAAGGAGGAAUCGCUAGUAAUCGCGUAUCAGCACGACGCGGUGAAUACGUUCCCGGGCCUUGUACACACCGCCCGUCACACCACRAAAGCCAGCUGUACUCRAAGUCGCURAGA
Molecule: ribosomal RNA, 420 nt
Filed under: uncultured Methylomirabilota bacterium
Lineage: Bacteria; Methylomirabilota (SeqCode)
Description: uncultured candidate division NC10 bacterium partial 16S ribosomal RNA
Rfam family: Bacterial small subunit ribosomal RNA
Source: RNAcentral